This 69-nucleotide transfer RNA is filed under the name Pselaphinae sp. 6 EF-2015. Its description in RNAcentral is "tRNA-Gln". Lineage: Eukaryota; Metazoa; Arthropoda; Insecta; Coleoptera; Staphylinidae. The record is from RNAcentral.
UAUAUUUUAGUAUGUAAUGUAUUGAAGACUUUGAAUUUUCAGGGGAUAGCUUAAUUCUAUUGAAUAUAA